AACGAACGCUGGCGGCGCGUCUUAAGCAUGCAAGUCGAACGGCAAGAGAGGAGCUUGCUUCUCUCCUAGAGUGGCGGACUGGUGAGGAACACGUGGGUAAUCUACCCUUAAGUUGGGGAUAGCUGCUAGAAAUAGCAGGUAAUACCGUAUACACUCAAAUUUUCACAAGAAGAAUUGAGGAAAGAGGCUACGGCCUCGCUUGAGGAUGAGCUUGCGUCCCAUUAGCUAGUUGGUGAGGUAAAGGCCCACCAAGGCAACGAUGGGUAUCCGGCCAGAGAGGGUGAUCGGACACAUUGGGACUGAGAUACGGCCCAAACUCCUACGGGAGGCAGCAGCUAAGAAUAUUCCGCAAUGGACGAAAGUCUGACGGAGCGACGCCGCGUGGAUGAAGAAGGCUGAAAAGUUGUAAAAUCCUUUUGUCGAUGAAGAAUAAGGAUAAGAGGGAAUGCUUAUCUGAUGACGGUAAUCAGCGAAUAAGCCCCGGCUAAUUACGUGCCAGCAGCCGCGGUAACACGUAAGGGGCGAGCGUUGUUCGGAAUUAUUGGGCGUAAAGGGCAUGCAGGCGGUUGUGUAAGCCUGAUGUGAAAUCCUAGAGCUUAACUCUAGAAUAGCAUUGGGUACUGCACAACUUGAAUUACGGAAGGGAAACUGGAAUUCCAAGUGUAGGGGUGGAAUCUGUAGAUAUUUGGAAGAACACCGGUGGCGAAGGCGGGUUUCUGGCCGAUAAUUGACGCUGAGAUGCGAAAGUGUGGGGAUCAAACAGGAUUAGAUACCCUGGUAGUCCACACCGUAAACGAUGUACACUAGGUGUUGGGGUACGAACUUCAGUGCCAAAGCAAACGCGUUAAGUGUACCGCCUGGGGAGUAUGCCCGCAAGGGUGAAACUCAAAGGAAUUGACUGGGGGCCGCACAAGCGGUGGAGCAUGUGGUUUAAUUCGAUGGUACGCGAGGAACCUACCUGGGUUUGACAUCUAGUUGGAAUGUCUUAGAGAUAAGGCAGUGUAGCAAUACACCGCUAGACAGGUGCUGCAUGGCUGUCGUCAGCUCGUGCCGUGAGGUGUUUGGGUUAAGUCCGCACCGAGCGCCACCCCUACUGCCAGUUACUACAGGUAUGCUGAG
RNAcentral lists this ribosomal RNA (1119 nucleotides) under Treponema sp. oral taxon G48. Its description in RNAcentral is "bacterial SSU rRNA". It matches the Rfam family "Bacterial small subunit ribosomal RNA", at positions 28 to 1135 of the family's 1533-position model. Lineage: Bacteria; Pseudomonadati; Spirochaetota; Spirochaetia; Treponematales; Treponemataceae. The record is from RNAcentral.